Molecule: ribosomal RNA, 253 nt
Filed under: uncultured bacterium
Lineage: Bacteria
Description: partial 16S ribosomal RNA
Rfam family: Bacterial small subunit ribosomal RNA
Source: RNAcentral
UACAGAGGUCCCAAGCGUUGUUCGGAUUCACUGGGCGUAAAGGGUGCGUAGGUGGUUAGGUAAGUCCGAUGUGAAAUCUCCAGGCUCAACCUGGAAAUGGCAUUGGAUACUAUUUAGCUUGAGGAGUGGAGGGGGGACUGGAAUUCUCGGUGUAGCAGUGAAAUGCGUAGAGAUCAUGAGGAAGACCAGUGGCGAAGACGGGUCUCUGGACAGUUCCUGACACUGAGGCACGAAGGCCAGGGGAGCAAACGGG